RNAcentral lists this ribosomal RNA (294 nucleotides) under uncultured bacterium. RNAcentral describes it as "partial 16S ribosomal RNA". It matches the Rfam family "Bacterial small subunit ribosomal RNA", at positions 335 to 647 of the family's 1533-position model. The record is from RNAcentral.
UGCCUACGGGAGGCAGCAGUGGGGGAUAUUGCACAAUAGGGGGAACCCUGAUGCAGCGACGCCGCGUGGGUGAAGGAGCGUUCCGGCGCGUAAAGCCCUAUCGGCAGGGAAGAAGAUGACGGUACCUGACCAAGAAGCCCCGGCUAACUACGUGCCAGCAGCCGCGGUAAUACGUAGGGGGCAAGCGUUAUCCGGAUUUACUGGGUGUAAAGGGGGCGCAGACGGCAAUGCAAGCCAGGAGUGAAAGCCCGGGGCCCAACCCCGGGACUGCUCUUGGAACUGCAUGGCUGGAGU